AACUAACGCUGGCGGCGUGCCUAACACAUGCAAGUCGUACGAGAAAGUUGGCUUCGGCCGAUGAGUACAGUGGCGCACGGGUGAGUAACGCGUGGAUAAUCUGCCCCUUAAGUGUGGGAAUAACGUACCGAAAGGUGCGCUAAUACCGCAUAAUGCCUGGCAACAUAAGUUGUCCGGCCAAAGAAGGCCUCUGCUUGCAAGCUUUCGCUAAAGGAUGAGUCCGCGUACCAUUAGCUAGUUGGUGGGGUAACGGCCUACCAAGGCGACGAUGGUUAGCUGGUCUGAGAGGAUGAUCAGCCACACUGGAACUGAGACACGGUCCAGACUCCUACGGGAGGCAGCAGUGAGGAAUAUUGCGCAAUGGGGGCAACCCUGACGCAGCAACGCCGCGUUGAGUGAGGAAGGCCUUCGGUUGUAAAGCGUCUUUCGGUCCGGGAGGAAAUACGCAUGGGUUAAGUAACCCUGUGCGGAUGACGGUACCGGACGAUAAGAAGCACCGGCUAACUACCG
RNAcentral lists this ribosomal RNA (510 nucleotides) under uncultured bacterium. RNAcentral describes it as "bacterial SSU rRNA". It matches the Rfam family "Bacterial small subunit ribosomal RNA", at positions 29 to 506 of the family's 1533-position model. The record is from RNAcentral.